This 455-nucleotide ribosomal RNA is filed under the name uncultured bacterium. RNAcentral describes it as "bacterial SSU rRNA". It matches the Rfam family "Bacterial small subunit ribosomal RNA", at positions 29 to 506 of the family's 1533-position model. The record is from RNAcentral.
GUGAACGCUGGCGGCGUGCUUAACACAUGCAAGUCGAACGAUGAAGUCCCUCGGGAUGGAUUAGUGGCGCACGGGUGAGUAAUAUAUAGUUAAUGUGCCUCGAAGACUGGGAUAGCCACUGGAAACGGUGAUUAAUACUAGAUACACCUUUUUAACAUAAGUUAAAUCGGGAAAUGUCUUUUCGCUUCGAGAUCAGACUAUAUCCUAUCAGUUAGUUGGUGAGGUAAUGGCUCACCAAGGCAAUGACGGGUAGCGGUUCUGAGAGGAUGAUCCGCCACACUGGUACUGAGACACGGACCAGACUCCUACGGGAGGCAGCAGUGAGGAAUAUUGCACAAUGGGGGGAACCCUGAUGCAGCAACGCCGCGUGGAGGAUGACGCAUUUCGGUGUGUAAACUCCUUUUAUAUGUCAAGAAAAUGACGGUAGCAUAUGAAUAAGCACCGGCUAACUCCGU